CCCCAGCGCCACAAGUGGUAGCCACAAUUAUUGGGCCUAAAGCGUCCGUAGCCGGUCUUGUAAAUUCUUUGUGAAAUCAUCAUGCUCAACAUGAUGGCGUGCAGGGGACACUGCAAGACUUGGGACCGGGAGGAGUCAGGGGUAUUCCAGGGGUAGCGGUAAAAUGUUAUAAUCCUUGGAGGACCACCUGUGGCGAAGGCGCCUGACUAGAACGGAUUCGACGGUGAGGGACGAAAGCUAGGGGAGCGAACCG
This 253-nucleotide ribosomal RNA is filed under the name uncultured archaeon. RNAcentral describes it as "partial 16S ribosomal RNA". It matches the Rfam family "Archaeal small subunit ribosomal RNA", at positions 474 to 726 of the family's 1478-position model. The record is from RNAcentral.